AGGGCACCACCAGGAGUGGAGCCUGCGGCUUAAUUUGACUCAACACGGGAAAACUCACCCGGCCCGGACACCGUAAGGAUUGACAGACUGAGAGCUCUUUCUUAAUUCGGUGGGUGGUGGUGCAUGGCCGUUCUUAGUUGGUGGAGCGAUUUGUCUGGUUAAUUCCGAUAACGAACGAGACUCUGGCCUAUUAAAUAGACGGUAUAUCUAGAAAAAGUAUACCGCGCUUCUUAGAGGGACAACCGGCGUCUAGCCGCGUGAAAUAGAGCAAUAACAGGUCUGUGAUGCCCUUAGAUGUCCGGGGCUGCACGCGCGCUACACCGAAAGAAUCAGUAUGCGCCGUCGCCUAGUUCGGAAGAACCGGGUAACCCGAGCAAAUUCUUUCGUGCUUGGGAUAGGGGAUUGCAAUUAUUUCCCAUAAACGAGGAAUUCCCAGUAAACGCGGGUCAUAAGCUCGCGUUGAUUACGUCCCUGCCCUUUGUACACACCGCCCGUCGCUACUACCGAUUGGAUGACUUA
This 519-nucleotide ribosomal RNA is filed under the name uncultured eukaryote. RNAcentral's name for it is "SSU rRNA". It matches the Rfam family "Eukaryotic small subunit ribosomal RNA", at positions 1161 to 1700 of the family's 1831-position model. The record is from RNAcentral.